RNAcentral lists this ribosomal RNA (484 nucleotides) under uncultured bacterium. RNAcentral describes it as "partial 16S ribosomal RNA". It matches the Rfam family "Bacterial small subunit ribosomal RNA", at positions 30 to 507 of the family's 1533-position model. The record is from RNAcentral.
AUUGAACGCUGGCGGCAGGCCUAACACAUGCAAGUCGAGCGGAUGAAGGGAGCUUGCUCCUGGAUUCAGCGGCGGACGGGUGAGUAAUGCCUAGGAAUCUGCCUGGUAGUGGGGGAUAACGUCCGGAAACGGGCGCUAAUACCGCAUACGUCCUGAGGGAGAAAGUGGGGGAUCUUCGGACCUCACGCUAUCAGAUGAGCCUAGGUCGGAUUAGCUAGUUGGUGGGGUAAAGGCCUACCAAGGCGACGAUCCGUAACUGGUCUGAGAGGAUGAUCAGUCACACUAGAACUGAAACACGGUCCAGACUCCUACGGGAGGCAGCAGUGGGGAAUAUUGGACAAUGGGCGAAAGCCUGAUCCAGCCAUGCCGCGUGUGUGAAGAAGGUCUUCGGAUUGUAAAGCACUUUAAGUUGGGAGGAAGGGCAGUAAGUUAAUACCUUGCUGUUUUGACGUUACCAACAGAAUAAGCACCGGCUAACUUCGUG